CGAAAGCGUGGGGAGCAAACAGGAUUAGAUACCCUGGUAGUCCACGCCGUAAACGAUGAGUACUAAACGUUGGGUAAAACCAGUGUUGAAGUUAACACAUUAAGUACUCCGCCUGAGUAGUACGUACGCAAGUAUGAAACUUAAAGGAAUUGACGGGACUCCGCACAAGCGGUGGAUCAUGUUGUUUAAUUCGAAGGUACCCGAAAAACCUCACCAGGUCUUGACAUGCUUCUGCAAAGCUGUAGAAACACAGUGGAGGUUAUCAGUUGCACAGGUGGUGCAUGGUUGUCGUCAGCUCGUGUCGUGAGAUGUUGGGUUAAGUCCCGCAACGAGCGCAACCCUUAUUGUUAGUUACCAGCACGUAAUGGUGGGGACUUUAGCAAGACUGCCAGUGAUAAAUUGGAGGAAGGUGGGGACGACGUCAAAUCAUCAUGCCCCUUAUGACCUGGGCUACAAACGUGAUACAAUGGCUGUUACAAAGGGUAGCUGAAGCGCAAGUUUUUGGCGAAUCUCAAAAAAACAGUCUCAGUUCGGAUUGAAGUCUGCAACUCGACUUCAUGAAGUUGGAAUCGCUAGUAAUCGCGAAUCAGCAUGUCGCGGUGAAUACGUUCUCGGGGUUUGUACACACCGCCCGUCAAACCACGAAAGUUGGCAAUACCCAAAGCCGGUGGCCUAACUUCGCAAGAAGAGGGAACCGUCUAAGGUAGGGUCGAUG
Molecule: ribosomal RNA, 715 nt
Filed under: Buchnera aphidicola
Lineage: Bacteria; Pseudomonadati; Pseudomonadota; Gammaproteobacteria; Enterobacterales; Erwiniaceae
Description: bacterial SSU rRNA
Rfam family: Bacterial small subunit ribosomal RNA
Source: RNAcentral